AUUGAACGCUGGCGGCAUGCCUUACACAUGCAAGUCGAACGGCAGCACGGGUGCUUGCACCUGGUGGCGAGUGGCGAACGGGUGAGUAAUACAUCGGAACAUGUCCUGUAGUGGGGGAUAGCCCGGCGAAAGCCGGAUUAAUACCGCAUACGAUCUACGGAUGAAAGCGGGGGACCUUCGGGCCUCGCGCUAUAGGGUUGGCCGAUGGCUGAUUAGCUAGUUGGUGGGGUAAAGGCCUACCAAGGCGACGAUCAGUAGCUGGUCUGAGAGGACGACCAGCCACACUGGGACUGAGACACGGCCCAGACUCCUACGGGAGGCAGCAGUGGGGAAUUUUGGACAAUGGGCGAAAGCCUGAUCCAGCAAUGCCGCGUGUGUGAAGAAGGCCUUCGGGUUGUAAAGCACUUUUGUCCGGAAAGAAAUCCUUGGCCCUAAUACGGUCGGGGGGAUGACGGUACCGGAAGAAUAAGCACCGGCUAGCUACGUG
Molecule: ribosomal RNA, 487 nt
Filed under: uncultured bacterium
Lineage: Bacteria
Description: partial 16S ribosomal RNA
Rfam family: Bacterial small subunit ribosomal RNA
Source: RNAcentral